RNAcentral lists this non-coding RNA (231 nucleotides) under Ignavibacteria bacterium. RNAcentral describes it as "6S RNA". It matches the Rfam family "6S / SsrS RNA". From Rfam's summary of the family: E. coli 6S RNA was the first non coding RNA to be sequenced, but its function was unknown until recently. The record is from RNAcentral. Lineage: Bacteria; Pseudomonadati; Ignavibacteriota; Ignavibacteria.
AAAAAACCGCACCGUCAGUCGUAAUUAAAGAGAACCUGACAGUUUCAAUAAUAUGGGAACUUGGCUCGUGAGUGUGGAGCGCAUGCCAUCGAAUGAAGAUUAAAGGCUUUGCGAUGACGUCUAAAAAUAGACCGAGCAAGCUGGAUGGAAGCGUGAAAUACUCAGGCAGGUACCCACUGUGUAAAGAGAAGAGGUUCUUCCCUUAAUUUGACCGAUGAGUGCGGUUUUUUA